This 545-nucleotide ribosomal RNA is filed under the name uncultured eukaryote. RNAcentral's name for it is "bacterial SSU rRNA". It matches the Rfam family "Eukaryotic small subunit ribosomal RNA", at positions 381 to 816 of the family's 1831-position model. The record is from RNAcentral.
UUCCGGAGAAGGAGCAUGAGAAACGGCUACUAUUUCUAAGGAAAGCAGCAGGCGCGCAAAUUAUUCAAUGGAAACAAUUUUCCGAAAUAGUGACAAAAAAUAUCAAUGCUGGAUACUAUGUAUUUAGUAAUUGGAAUGAGUACAAUUUAAAAUCCCUUAACAAGUAACAAUUAGAGGGCAAGUCUGGUGCCAGCAGCCGCGGUAAUUCCAGCUCUAAUAGCGUAUAUUAAUAUUGUUGCAGUUAAAAAAGCUCGUAGUUGAAAUUUGGAACUUUAUUGUAUUGGUUUAUCUUUUGAUGAACUGUAUAAUGGGUUUCUUCCUACUAGAGUUCGAUUCUGUUCUUAACUGAAUGGAGUAGCUAUCUUUCGGGGUGGUCAGUUGGUUGUUAUAUCUCCACUAAUAAGCAGAGAGGGGUUAAACCUUUGAAGUAAGUUAUGUGGGUCAAGGUAUAAUGAUUAAUUGGAGUUCUAGUUCAUUUACUUUGAGUAAAAAUUAGAGUGUUUAAAAGCAGCCUCUUGGGGCACUGAAUACAUUAGCAUGGAUAA